RNAcentral lists this transfer RNA (75 nucleotides) under Sulfuracidifex metallicus DSM 6482 = JCM 9184. Its description in RNAcentral is "Sulfolobus metallicus DSM 6482 tRNA". It matches the Rfam family "tRNA". From Rfam's summary of the family: Transfer RNA (tRNA) molecules are approximately 80 nucleotides in length. Lineage: Archaea; Thermoproteati; Thermoproteota; Thermoprotei; Sulfolobales; Sulfolobaceae. The record is from Rfam by way of RNAcentral.
GGGCCCAUGGCUCAGCCAGGACAGAGCGGGGGCCUUCGGAGCCUCAGGUCGGGGGUUCAAAUCCCCCUGGGCCCG